AUGAACGCUAGCUACAGGCUUAACACAUGCAAGUCGAGGGGCAGCAUGGUCUUAGCUUGCUAAGACUGAUGGCGACCGGCGCACGGGUGAGUAACACGUAUCCAACCUGCCGUCUACUCUUGGACAGCCUUCUGAAAGGAAGAUUAAUACAAGAUGGCAUCAUGAGUCCGCAUGUUCACAUGAUUAAAGGUAUUCCGGUAGACGAUGGGGAUGCGUUCCAUUAGAUAGUAGGCGGGGUAACGGCCCACCUAGUCUUCGAUGGAUAGGGGUUCUGAGAGGAAGGUCCCCCCACAUUGGAACUGAGACACGGUCCAAACUCCUACGGGAGGCAGCAGUGAGGAAUAUUGGUCAAUGGGCGAGAGCCUGAACCAGCCAAGUAGCGUGAAGGAUGACUGCCCUAUGGGUUGUAAACUUCUUUUAUAAAGGAAUAAAGUCGGGUAUGGAUACCCGUUUGCAUGUACUUUAUGAAUAAGGAUCGGCUAACUCCGUG
This 490-nucleotide ribosomal RNA is filed under the name uncultured bacterium. Its description in RNAcentral is "bacterial SSU rRNA". It matches the Rfam family "Bacterial small subunit ribosomal RNA", at positions 29 to 507 of the family's 1533-position model. The record is from RNAcentral.